RNAcentral lists this ribosomal RNA (450 nucleotides) under Tritoniopsis sp. AAV-2014. RNAcentral describes it as "partial 16S ribosomal RNA". It matches the Rfam family "Bacterial large subunit ribosomal RNA", at positions 1829 to 2597 of the family's 2925-position model. The record is from RNAcentral. Lineage: Eukaryota; Metazoa; Mollusca; Gastropoda; Nudibranchia; Tritoniidae.
AGCCACAAGUCUAUAUUUGUGGUUGAACCUGCCCAAUGUGGAAGAAUGAAUGGCCGCGGUACUCUGACCGUGCUAAGGUAGCGUAAUCAGUUGGCUUUUAAAUGGAGUCAGGAAUGAAUGGAUUUACCGGGCUUAGCUGUCUCCAAGAUAUUAUAUUGAAUUUACUGUUUAAGUGAAAAAGCUUAAUUUAAAAAAAGGGACGAGAAGACCCUUAGAAUUUUUUCUAUUUUAGUGUAUUUACUUUUAAGGUUACUAAUAAUGAUUUUAUUGGGGCGAUAAAGAAAUAAUUUUUAACUUUCUUUGAAACACAAGCCGAAUAUAUUAAGAGAGGAUAAAUUACCUGAGGGAUAACAGCAUAAUUCUAUAAAUGAGUUUGUGACCUCGAUGUUGGACUAGGAAACUGAUAAGCUAGGCGCUUAUUUUGUGGGUUCUGUUCGAACUUUUAUUCCU